This 82-nucleotide transfer RNA is filed under the name Bacteroidia bacterium. RNAcentral's name for it is "tRNA-Leu". It matches the Rfam family "tRNA". From Rfam's summary of the family: Transfer RNA (tRNA) molecules are approximately 80 nucleotides in length. The record is from RNAcentral. Lineage: Bacteria; Pseudomonadati; Bacteroidota; Bacteroidia.
GCGCAAGUGGCGGAAUUGGUAUACGUGCUGGUCUCAGAAGCCAGUGGGGCAACCCUUAGGAGUUCGAGUCUCCUCUUGCGCA